AUGAACGCUGGCGGCGUGCCUAAUACAUGCAAGUCGAGCGAACGGACGAGAAGCUUGCUUCUCUGAUGUUAGCGGCGGACGGGUGAGUAACACGUGGAUAACCUACCUAUAAGACUGGGAUAACUUCGGGAAACCGGAGCUAAUACCGGAUGAUAUUUUGAACCGCAUGGUUCAAAAGUGAAAGACGGUCUUGCUGUCACUUAUAGAUGGAUCCGCGCUGCAUUAGCUAGUUGGUAAGGUAACGGCUUACCAAGGCAACGAUGCAUAGCCGACCUGAGAGGGUGAUCGGCCACACUGGAACUGAGACACGGUCCAGACUCCUACGGGAGGCAGCAGUAGGGAAUCUUACGCAAUGGGCGAAAGCCUGACGGAGCAACGCCGCGUGAGUGAUGAAGGUCUUCGGAUCGUAAAACUCUGUUAUUAGGGAAGAACAUAUGUGUAAGUAACUGUGCACAUCUUGACGGUACCUAAUCAGAAAGCCACGGCUAACUACGUG
This 496-nucleotide ribosomal RNA is filed under the name uncultured bacterium. Its description in RNAcentral is "partial 16S ribosomal RNA". It matches the Rfam family "Bacterial small subunit ribosomal RNA", at positions 29 to 507 of the family's 1533-position model. The record is from RNAcentral.